GGCAAGGCAGAGUGUUGGGCAUGAGACCAGAACUUAGAAUGGGGAACACUGGAAAAUGUUCUGACAGUUACUAAGGUCCUCUCACUGACUGGCUGACUUUCCUUCUGGCUAUUGGUAGAGGCAGACAUCUUAGACCUGUGCUGGUGAGAGGGAAAAAGAUCUCUGUAAACCAUCUAAAAAGGUUUUCUACUUUCCUGACCGAGAGAAGUCAUCUCUAAGAAGAAGCUGGUAGAUCUGUUUUGCUGGAGAACAAUUUGGAGAAAAAAAAGGCUGAAGACUGCCUGGACACUGGGCCAUACCAGGGUUACCUUAUUUUCAGUUAGCAACUGCCAUCUUGGCUGACUGAAAUUAUAUGUACUUGGAGAUAUCAUUAUCAAAUUAGUCAGAUUAAUGUUUUGGGGUUAUGUUUUUAUUUUUGUUUUGUAAGUGCUAGGCAGAUUUGGUGUAGCUGGAAGAACCAAAGGCUUUGUCAUGAGAUAAAUGUAGAAGAUAUCAUGAUUGCAACUCCUGCCUUCUUUCUAUCAGUUGAGGCCCAAAAGGACUUACUCCAACCUCUAAUUCUAACCUUGUCACCAGCAUUCAUGAGUGAAGUCAUUUCUGUAACAGCAAACAGAUAUAUGUAUGGGAAAUGUGACAGUCUUGCCCUCAAUGCCAGCAAAGGUCAAUCUCCUAUUUGUCAGAACUCUUUGCCAUCUGUGGAUUGAGAGGUCCUGAUGCUGCUUCUGCUGGUGGCUGUGUCAUCUAUACCAUUUUUGAAGCAUGCACCAGAGCAGAACUUCAUUUUUUCCCAUUCAAAAUCUCAAUCAAUCUCAGAUCUGGCAUUUGGUUAAAGUGGAUUUUGGUGCACAUAAAAUAAAACACAAGGAGUUUCAAC
This 874-nucleotide long non-coding RNA is filed under the name Monodelphis domestica (gray short-tailed opossum). Its description in RNAcentral is "lncRNA (ENSMODG00000031174.2)". Lineage: Eukaryota; Metazoa; Chordata; Mammalia; Didelphimorphia; Didelphidae. The record is from RNAcentral.